RNAcentral lists this ribosomal RNA (253 nucleotides) under uncultured bacterium. Its description in RNAcentral is "partial 16S ribosomal RNA". It matches the Rfam family "Bacterial small subunit ribosomal RNA", at positions 524 to 776 of the family's 1533-position model. The record is from RNAcentral.
UACGGAGGGUGCAAGCGUUAUCCGGAUUUACUGGGUUUAAAGGGUGCGUAGGUGGGCCUGUAAGUCAGUGGUGAAAUCUUCAAGCUUAACUUGGAAACUGCCAUUGAUACUAUAGGUCUUGAAUUAUCUGGAGGUAAGCGGAAUAUGUCAUGUAGCGGUGAAAUGCUUAGAGAUGACAUAGGACACCCAUUGCGAAGGCAGCUUACUACGGAUUGAUUGACACUGAGGCACGAAAGCGUGGGGAUCAAACAGG